Molecule: ribosomal RNA, 401 nt
Filed under: uncultured bacterium
Lineage: Bacteria
Description: bacterial SSU rRNA
Rfam family: Bacterial small subunit ribosomal RNA
Source: RNAcentral
GGGGAAUAUUGCGCAAUGGGGGAAACCCUGACGCAGCAACGCCGCGUGGAGGAAGAAGGUCUUCGGAUUGUAAACUCCUGUCUUCUGGGACGAAUAAUGACGGUACCAGAGGAGGAAGCCACGGCUAACUACGUGCCAGCAGCCGCGGUAAUACGUAGGUGGCGAGCGUUGUCCGGAAUUACUGGGCGUAAAGGGCGCGUAGGCGGCUUUUUAAGUCAGAUGUGAAAACCCGGGGCUUAACUUCGGGACUGCAUUUGAAACUGGAGGGCUUGAGUGCAGGAGAGGUAAGUGGAAUUCCUAGUGUAGCGGUGAAAUGCGUAGAUAUUAGGAGGAACACCAGUGGCGAAGGCGACUUACUGUACUGUAACUGACGCUGAGGCGCGAAAGCGUGGGGAGCAAAC